This 505-nucleotide ribosomal RNA is filed under the name uncultured Glomus. Its description in RNAcentral is "SSU rRNA". It matches the Rfam family "Eukaryotic small subunit ribosomal RNA", at positions 569 to 1078 of the family's 1831-position model. The record is from RNAcentral. Lineage: Eukaryota; Fungi; Glomeromycota; Glomeromycetes; Glomerales; Glomeraceae.
AGCAGCCGCGGUAAUUCCAGCUCCAAUAGCGUAUAUUAAAGUUGUUGCAGUUAAAAAGCUCGUAGUUGAAUUUCGGGGUUAGUAAGUUGGUCAUGCCAUUGGUAUGCACUGGCUUUACUGAUUCCUCCUUCUUGACGAACCGUGAUGUCAUUAAUUUGGUGUUGCGGGAAAUCAGGACUGUUACUUUGAAAAAAUUAGAGUGUUUAAAGCAGGCUAACGCUUGAAUACAUUAGCAUGGAAUAAUGAAAUAGGACGUUAAUCCUAUUUUGUUGGUUUCUAGGAUCGACGUAAUGAUUAAUAGGGAUAGUUGGGGGCAUUAGUAUUCAAUUGUCAGAGGUGAAAUUCUUGGAUUUAUUGAAGACUGACUACUGCGAAAGCAUUUGCCAAGGAUGUUUUCAUUAAUCAAGAACGAAAGUUAGGGGAUCGAAGACGAUCAGAUACCGUCGUAGUCUUAACCAUAAACUAUGCCGACUAGGGAUCGGAUGAUGUUAUUUUUAAUGACUCA